AUGGGGAAGAAAGGUAUAGUGGUGGCGACCACCGUCGUCGCCGUGAUGACUGUCAUCUUCGGAGUCAUCAGCGCGGUUUUCUUGGGACAGAGACGCUAUGAGGAUGACCACGAUGACCGCAGCGUGUGUAAGUACGAGCGAUCGCCGGCGACGGCUUGCGGCGUCGUGGCGGCCGUGCUGGCGCUAACGACACAGGUUCUCGCCAGCGUGGCCAUCUGCUGCUGUGGGGCAUGGCAGAAUCCCAAGAGGGCCAAUCGCAUCGCCGCCGUCGUUUUCUAUGUCAUCUCAUGGAUCCUAGCGAUCAUAGCGGUGCUAGCUUUCCUGGGAGGCGCCCUAUUAGGGAUUGAAGGAUCUAUGGAGAAAACUAUUGGGAAUAGUAGUUGUGUCGGAGGUGUCGCAGUUUUCGUGGAAGCGACAUUUCUGUUUCUUGUAGUUGUCGCCCUUGUGGUCUCCUCGUAUCUUCUUAUUCAGAGAAAUGACCACUACGAAGCAACCGCGGGCAAUAAUCCUCCUUUGGUACCAACCGCUACAUCUCCUUCGGCACCAACAGCUACAUCUAAAGACAGCGCCUACGCUUCUACUCCUGCGCCAGCAAAUCAAGUCUGA
This 606-nucleotide ribosomal RNA is filed under the name Triticum aestivum (bread wheat). RNAcentral describes it as "partial small subunit ribosomal RNA". Lineage: Eukaryota; Viridiplantae; Streptophyta; Magnoliopsida; Poales; Poaceae. The record is from RNAcentral.